UGGGUUGUGGCUCAGCGGUAGAGCGCUCGCCUGGCACGCGCGAGGCCCUGGGUUGAAUCCUCAACACCACAU
Molecule: non-coding RNA, 72 nt
Organism: Ictidomys tridecemlineatus (thirteen-lined ground squirrel)
Lineage: Eukaryota; Metazoa; Chordata; Mammalia; Rodentia; Sciuridae
Source: Rfam